RNAcentral lists this ribosomal RNA (253 nucleotides) under uncultured bacterium. RNAcentral's name for it is "partial 16S ribosomal RNA". It matches the Rfam family "Bacterial small subunit ribosomal RNA", at positions 524 to 776 of the family's 1533-position model. The record is from RNAcentral.
UACGUAGGGUGCAAGCGUUGUCCGGAAUUAUUGGGCGUAAAGAGCUCGUAGGCGGUUUGUCGCGUCGAAUGUGAAAACCCGGGGCUCAACCCCGGGCCUGCAUUCGAUACGGGCAGACUAGAGUGCGGUAGGGGAGACUGGAAUUCCUGGUGUAGCGGUGGAAUGCGCAGAUAUCAGGAGGAACACCGAUGGCGAAGGCAGGUCUCUGGGCCGCAACUGACGCUGAGGAGCGAAAGCAUGGGGAGCGAACAGG